This is a small nuclear RNA of Heterocephalus glaber (naked mole-rat), 99 nucleotides long. Its record names the gene U2. It matches the Rfam family "U2 spliceosomal RNA". From Rfam's summary of the family: U2 is a small nuclear RNA (snRNA) component of the spliceosome (involved in pre-mRNA splicing). Complementary binding between U2 snRNA (in an area lying towards the 5' end but 3' to hairpin I) and the branchpoint sequence (BPS) of the intron results the bulging out of an unpaired adenosine, on the BPS, which initiates a nucleophilic attack at the intronic 5' splice site, thus starting the first of two transesterification reactions that mediate splicing. Lineage: Eukaryota; Metazoa; Chordata; Mammalia; Rodentia; Bathyergidae. The record is from Ensembl.
AUUGCUUCUUGGCCUUUUGGCUAAGAUCAAGUGUAGAAUAUUGUCUACCUCUACUUAUUCCUUAAAAAUUUUUUCUGUAAUUCCCAAGAAAGUCCCUUU